RNAcentral lists this ribosomal RNA (497 nucleotides) under uncultured bacterium. Its description in RNAcentral is "partial 16S ribosomal RNA". It matches the Rfam family "Bacterial small subunit ribosomal RNA", at positions 28 to 507 of the family's 1533-position model. The record is from RNAcentral.
GAUGAACGCUGGCGGCGUGCCUAAUACAUGCAAGUCGAGCGAACAGACGAGGAGCUUGCUCCUCUGACGUUAGCGGCGGACGGGUGAGUAACACGUGGAUAACCUACCUAUAAGACUGGGAUAACUUCGGGAAACCGGAUCUAAUACCGGAUAAUAUAUUGAACCGCAUGGUUCAAUAGUGAAAGACGGAUUUGCUGUCACUUAUAGAUGGAUCCGCGCCGCAUUAGCUAGUUGGUAAGGUAACGGCUUACCAAGGCAACGAUGCGUAGCCGACCUGAGAGGGUGAUCGGCCACACUGGAACUGAGACACGGUCCAGACUCCUACGGGAGGCAGCAGUAGGGAAUCUUCCGCAAUGGGCGAAAGCUUGACGGAGCAACGCCGCGUGAGUGAUGAAGGUCUUCGGAUCGUAAAACUCUGUUAGUAGGGAAGAACAACUGUGUAAGUAACUAUGCCCGUCUUGACGGUACCUAAUCAGAAAGCCACGGCUAACUACGUG